RNAcentral lists this ribosomal RNA (406 nucleotides) under uncultured bacterium. RNAcentral describes it as "partial 16S ribosomal RNA". It matches the Rfam family "Bacterial small subunit ribosomal RNA", at positions 29 to 526 of the family's 1533-position model. The record is from RNAcentral.
AUUGAACGCUGGCGGCAGGCCUAACACAUGCAAGUCGAACGAGCGGCGGGCAGGGGAGAACUGUCUAGGAAACCGCCCGAAGCAGCGGGAGAACAACUGGAAACGGUAUCUAAUCUCGCACACCAUCAGAUGUGCGCUGAUGGGAUUGGCUCGUGGGUGGGGUAACGGCUCACCUAGCCGACGAUCCCUACCUGGUCUGAGAGGAUGACCAGCCACACUGGGACUGAGACACGGUCCAGACUCCUACGGGAGGCAGCAGUGGGGAAUAUUGAGCAAUGGGCGCAAGGCUGAUGCAGCCAUGACGCGUGUGUGAAGAAGGCCUUCGGGUUGUAAAGCACUUUUGGCGGGGAGGCGGUAUCUGCAGAAGAAGCAACGGCUAACUCCGUGCCAGCAGCCGCGGUAAUUC